Molecule: ribosomal RNA, 254 nt
Filed under: uncultured bacterium
Lineage: Bacteria
Description: partial 16S ribosomal RNA
Rfam family: Bacterial small subunit ribosomal RNA
Source: RNAcentral
UACGAAGGGGGCUAGCGUUGCUCGGAAUCACUGGGCGUAAAGCGCACGUAGGCGGCUUUUUAAGUCAGAGGUGAAAUCCUGGAGCUCAACUCCAGAACUGCCUUUGAUACUGGAGAGCUUGAGUCCGGGAGAGGUGAGUGGAACUGCGAGUGUAGAGGUGAAAUUCGUAGAUAUCGAGAGGAACACCAGAGGUGAAGACGGGUUGCUGGGCCGACACUGACGCUGACAGCGCGAAAGCCAGGGGAGCAAACGGG